GCAAGUCGAGCGACUGAUUAGAAGCUUGCUUCUAUGACGUUAGCGGCGGACGGGUGAGUAACACGUGGGCAACCUGCCUGUAAGACUGGGAUAACUCCGGGAAACCGGAGCUAAUACCGGAUAACAUUUUUUCUUGCAUAAGAGAAAAUUGAAAGAUGGUUUCGGCUAUCACUUACAGAUGGGCCCGCGGUGCAUUAGCUAGUUGGUGAGGUAACGGCUCACCAAGGCAACGAUGCAUAGCCGACCUGAGAGGGUGAUCGGCCACACUGGGACUGAGACACGGCCCAGACUCCUACGGGAGGCAGCAGUAGGGAAUCUUCCGCAAUGGACGAAAGUCUGACGGAGCAACGCCGCGUGAGUGAUGAAGGCUUUCGGGUCGUAAAACUCUGUUGUUAGGGAAGAACAAGUACAAGAGUAACUGCUUGUACCUUGACGGUACCUAACCAGAAAGCCACGGCUAACUACGUGCCAGCAGCCGCGGUAAUACGUAGGUGGCAAGCGUUAUCCGGAAUUAUUGGGCGUAAAGCGCGCGCAGGCGGUUUCUUAAGUCUGAUGUGAAAGCCCACGGCUCAACCGUGGAG
This 581-nucleotide ribosomal RNA is filed under the name Priestia flexa. Its description in RNAcentral is "bacterial SSU rRNA". It matches the Rfam family "Bacterial small subunit ribosomal RNA", at positions 57 to 620 of the family's 1533-position model. Lineage: Bacteria; Bacillati; Bacillota; Bacilli; Caryophanales; Bacillaceae. The record is from RNAcentral.